Molecule: ribosomal RNA, 255 nt
Filed under: uncultured bacterium
Lineage: Bacteria
Description: partial 16S ribosomal RNA
Rfam family: Bacterial small subunit ribosomal RNA
Source: RNAcentral
CGGACGGGUGAGUAACGCGUGGGUAACCUGCCUCAUACAGGGGGAUAACAGUUAGAAAUGACUGCUAAUACCGCAUAAGCGCACAGGACCGCAUGGUCCGGUGUGAAAAACUCCGGUGGUAUGAGAUGGACCCGCGUCUGAUUAGCUGGUUGGUGAGGUAACGGCCCACCAAGGCGACGAUCAGUAGCCGGCCUGAGAGGGUGAACGGCCACAUUGGGACUGAGACACGGCCCAAACUCCUACGGGAGGCAGCAG